Alosa sapidissima (American shad) is the source of this 188-nucleotide long non-coding RNA. RefSeq lists it as uncharacterized. The transcript is spliced from 3 exons. NCBI's taxonomy places the organism in Eukaryota, Metazoa, Chordata, Actinopteri, Clupeiformes, Clupeidae. The record is from RefSeq and is a predicted model, not a curated record.
AUUUAGAGUAAGGUUUCUAUUGAUCUUUUUCAGAUAAGGCCUCUUCAUUUUCAACUGUGAAGGAUCUACAUGGACUUGGUCUGGAUAGCCUUUCCUGUUUUGAUGAGCCAGUCGGGUCUAGAGGGAAAACCCUAUAUGAGCCCCAGGAUCCUUGCUCCUGAUAUCCUGAUGUAUGGGUUGCACUUCAU